RNAcentral lists this unclassified non-coding RNA (400 nucleotides) under uncultured fungus. Its description in RNAcentral is "sequence contains ITS1". The stretch from base 1 to 105 matches the Rfam family "5.8S ribosomal RNA", at positions 50 to 154 of the family's 154-position model. The record is from RNAcentral. Lineage: Eukaryota; Fungi.
GAAAUGCGAUACGUAAUGUGAAUUGCAGAAUUCAGUGAAUCAUCGAAUCUUUGAACGCAUAUUGCGCUCUCUGGCAUUCCGGAGAGCAUGCUUGUUUGAGUAUCAGUAAACACCUCAAGUCAAGAGAUAUUAUUUUAUCUCAAGACUUGGAUUUGAGUGAUCCUAACGACAAGUCUUCUUUUUGAUGACUUGAAGGCAGGUCACUUGAAAUUCAGGUGCAGCUGAACUUUUCUUCUGAGCUAAAAGCAUUAUUUUAUUUAGUCUUUAUUGACUAUUACUUUUUGCUGCAGCUAAUAUAAAGGGAGAAGAGUUUCUUAAUGCUGACUGAUGCAGGAAUUUAUCAGUCUCGUAAAAAAGACUGUUAGACUCGAUCUCAAAUCAAGUAAGACUACCCGCUGAA